Molecule: ribosomal RNA, 253 nt
Filed under: uncultured bacterium
Lineage: Bacteria
Description: partial 16S ribosomal RNA
Rfam family: Bacterial small subunit ribosomal RNA
Source: RNAcentral
GACAGAGGGGGCAAGCGUUGCUCGGAAUCACUGGGCGUAAAGGGUGCGUAGGCCGCACGGUAAGUCAGAGGUGAAAUCCCGGAGCUCAACUCCGGAAUGGCCUCCGAUACUGCCGUGCUCGAGGACUGGAGAGGAGUCUGGGAUUCACAGUGGAGCAGUGAAAUGCGUGGAUAUUGUGAGGAACACUAGUGGCGAAGGCGAGACUCUGGACAGUUCCUGACGCUGAGGCACGAAGGCCAGGGGAGCAAACGGG